CCUACGGGAGGCAGCAGUGGGGAAUCUUGCGCAAUGGGCGAAAGCCUGACGCAGCCACGCCGCGUGCGGGAUGAAGGCCCUAGGGUUGUAAACCGCUUUUAACAGGAACGAAAAUGACGGUACCUGUAGAAUAAGGUGCGGUCAACUACGUGCCAGCAGCCGCGGUGACACGUAGGCACCAAGCGUUGUCCGGAUUUAUUGGGCGUAAAGAGCUCGUAGGCGGUUCAGUAAGUCGGGUGUGAAAACUCUGGGCUUAACCCAGAGACGCCACUCGAUACUAUUGUGACUAGAGUUCGGUAGGGGAGCGGGGAAUUCCUAGUGUAGCGGUGAAAUGCGCAGAUAUUAGGAGGAACACCGGUGGCGAAGGCGCCGCUCUGGGCCGAUACUGACGCUGAGGAGCGAAAGCGUGGGUAGCAAACAGGAUUAGAUACCCUGGUAGUCCACGCCGUAAACGGUGGGCACUAGGUGUGGGUUCCAACCAACGGAAUCCGCGCCGUCGCUAACGCAUUAAGUGCCCCGCCUGGGGAGUACGGCCGCAAGGUUAAAACUCAAAUGAAUUGACGG
This 564-nucleotide ribosomal RNA is filed under the name uncultured bacterium. RNAcentral's name for it is "bacterial SSU rRNA". It matches the Rfam family "Bacterial small subunit ribosomal RNA", at positions 338 to 916 of the family's 1533-position model. The record is from RNAcentral.